UCCGGCUUAUCACCGGCAGUCCCACUAGAGUGCCCAACUAAAUGCUGGCAACUAAUGGCGAGGGUUGCGCUCGUUGCGGGACUUAACCCAACAUCUCACGACACGAGCUGACGACAGCCAUGCAGCACCUGUGUUACGGUUCCCUUUCGGGCACACCUCCAUCUCUGGAGGCUUCCGUACAUGUCAAGGGUAGGUAAGGUUGUUCGCGUUGCAUCGAAUUAAUCCACAUCAUCCACCGCUUGUGCGGGUCCCCGUCAAUUCCUUUGAGUUUUAAUCUUGCGACCGUACUCCCCAGGCGGAUCACUUCACGCGUUAGCUACGGUACUGGAAAAUCGCUUCCCCAACACCUAGUGAUCAUCGUUUAGGGCGUGGACUAC
Molecule: unclassified non-coding RNA, 377 nt
Filed under: uncultured Gammaproteobacteria bacterium
Lineage: Bacteria; Pseudomonadati; Pseudomonadota; Gammaproteobacteria
Description: contains 16S-23S intergenic spacer region
Source: RNAcentral